Molecule: transfer RNA, 74 nt
Filed under: Rhodothermus sp. AH-315-K08
Lineage: Bacteria; Pseudomonadati; Rhodothermota; Rhodothermia; Rhodothermales; Rhodothermaceae
Description: tRNA-Ser
Source: RNAcentral
GAGGCCAGAUUCGGUACUAUCACUGCUCAUUCGUAAUGAGCAGGUCAGCGGUUCGAGUCCGCUCAUUGGCUUCA